Podarcis lilfordi (Lilford's wall lizard) is the source of this 67-nucleotide non-coding RNA. The record is from the annotation of a GenBank genome assembly. Lineage: Eukaryota; Metazoa; Chordata; Lepidosauria; Squamata; Lacertidae.
GGUUAGCUCAGUUGGUAGAGCAGAAGACUCUUCAUCUCAGGGUGAUGGGUUCAAGCCCUACAUAGCU